UUAGUCCUAAAAUUCGUAUAGAGUUGGAACAGCUUCCUUUCGUUUGCCGCUAGGGGCGCUGUUCCAACUCCAUACAAAUUUGAGUUA
Bombyx mori (domestic silkworm) is the source of this 87-nucleotide non-coding RNA. Lineage: Eukaryota; Metazoa; Arthropoda; Insecta; Lepidoptera; Bombycidae. The record is from Rfam.